RNAcentral lists this ribosomal RNA (1351 nucleotides) under uncultured marine eukaryote. RNAcentral describes it as "SSU rRNA". It matches the Rfam family "Eukaryotic small subunit ribosomal RNA", at positions 411 to 1779 of the family's 1831-position model. The record is from RNAcentral.
CACUUCUAAGGAAGGCAGCAGGCGCGCAAAUUGCCCAAUCCUGACUCAGGGAGGUAGUGACAAGAAAUAACAAUAAACCGGCUUAUGCCGGUUUAAUUGGAAUGAGUACAAUUUAAACAUCUUAACGAGGAACAAUUGGAGGGCAAGUCUGGUGCCAGCAGCCGCGGUAAUUCCAGCUCCAAUAGCGUAUACUAAAGUUGUUGCAGUUAAAAAGCUCGUAGUUGGAUUUCUGUGGGGACGGAGCGGCCGGCCGCAACACGCGGUUCGAGCUAGCGCUUUCCCUACAUCCUGCCGCGAACCGUGCUACCAUUAGUUUGGUGGCGCCGGGGAUCGGCUCGAUUACUUUGAGAAAAAUAGAGUGUUCAAAGCAGGCCACACGCCUUGAAUAAGUUAGCAUGGAAUAAUAACUAAGGACUUCGGUUCUAUUUUGUUGGUGUUCGGGACUGAGGUAAUGAUUGAUAGGGACAGUUGGGGCGGUCUGUAUUCCAAAGCGAGAGGUGAAAUUCUUAGACCUUCGGAAGACAAACAGCUGCGAAAGCGUUCCGCAAGGAUGUUCCCUUUGAUCAAGAACGAGAGUUGGGGGAUCGAAGACGAUCAGAUACCGUCGUAGUCUCAACUAUAAACUAUACCAGCUAGGGAUCGGCCAAACGUUAUUUCAUACCGACUUGGUCGGCACCUUAUGAGAAAUCAAAGCAUCUGGGUUCCGGGGGGAGUAUGGUCGCAAGGCUGAAACUUAAAGGAAUUGACGGAAGGGCACCACCAGCCGUGGAGCCUGUGGCUUAAUUUGACUCAACACGGGAAAACUUACCAGGUCCAGACAUAGUAAGGAUUGACAGAUUGAUAGCUCUUUCUUGAUUCUGUGGGUGGUGGUGCAUGGCCGUUCUUAGUUGGUGGAGUGAUUUGUCUGGUUAAUUCCGUUAACGAACGAGACCCCAGCCUGCUAAAUAGCGCGCGUGAGCUUUGCUCGCGGCGAGCUUCUUAGAGGGACUAUGAUGCGCGAUAGCACAUGGAAGUUUGGGGCAAUAACAGGUCUGUGAUGCCCUUAGAUGUUCUGGGCCGCACACGGGCUACACUGGCGCCUGCAACGAGCAUAUCAGCUGGCCCGAGAGGGUCUUGGCUAAUCUUUUGAACCGGCGCCGUGCUUGGGAUUGACCUUUGCAAUUGUUGGUCAUGCAACGAGGAAUGCCUUGUAAACGCGAGUCAUCAGCUCGCAUUGAAUACGUCCCUGCCCUUUGUACACACCGCCCGUCGCUCCUACCGAUUGAGUGAUCCGGUGAAUAAUUCGGACCGACAGUACAUGCAGUUUCUGUGUGAAUUGACGGAAAGUCUAGUGAACCUUAUCACUUAGAGG